UAGAGAUCAAGUUAUACACUCACGGACCAGCACUAUUGGAAAUACUGGUCAUCUUGAUUAUGAGAACCUUGACAAAUUCAUAAAGAAACUCUGCGCUGAAACAAUACUGCCUCUAUUUAAUGAUUUACAUUUAACUUUUCCCAUACCCUUCUGGAUUCUUGGAUCCAAGAUAAGCUUUAAAACGGACACUGUUCAGAUUCUUCCAUAAGAAGGACAAUGUGCAAAUCAGCUGACUUCUGGAAUUCAGAAUUGAUAAACUAUUCAAGAACAACAUAUAAAGUUAC
Long non-coding RNA from Bufo gargarizans (Asiatic toad), 284 nucleotides. RefSeq lists it as uncharacterized. Lineage: Eukaryota; Metazoa; Chordata; Amphibia; Anura; Bufonidae. The transcript is spliced from 4 exons. The record is from RefSeq and is a predicted model, not a curated record.